This 450-nucleotide ribosomal RNA is filed under the name Triticum aestivum (bread wheat). RNAcentral's name for it is "partial small subunit ribosomal RNA". Lineage: Eukaryota; Viridiplantae; Streptophyta; Magnoliopsida; Poales; Poaceae. The record is from RNAcentral.
AUGAACGUGGAUGCAGCGAUUUUGCGCAACAAAAGAGGAGGAGCGGUGGCCGCAGUUUGUCGAGACCACACAGGGCUUUACCUUGGCUCCUCGGCCAUCCUGGUUCGAGGCAUCAUCGAUCCAAUGAUACUUGAAACUUUUGCUUGCAGAGAAGCAUUGGCCCUAACAGAUGAUCUAAACAUCCAGAGAGUGAUGGUAGCAUCAGACAGUUUGGGUGUGGUGAAGGAUAUUAAUUCUGGUACUAGAGGCCCUCACUCAGCAAUAGUACAUGAAAUAACAGAACGUAGCAGUAGUUUUAUUUUGUGCUCUUUUGUUCAUGAGCGUAGGAACCAUAAUUUCGAAGCUCAUAAUCUCGCCAAAUUGGCCUGUAAUCUAGGCUUAGGUAGAAAUGUUUGGUUGGGCAUUCCUCACGACCCGAACCGUAUACCUAUGAACAUUAUCGUUGAGUAA